CCUACGGGUGGCUGCAGUAAGGAAUAUUGGACAAUGGCGGAGACGCUGAUCCAGCUAUCCCGCGUGCAGGAUGACGGCCCUACGGGUUGUAAACUGCUUUAGACUGGGGCGAAAAAGUGGGAUUUAUCCUACAUUGACGGUACCAGUAAAAUAAGCACCGGCUAACUCCGUGCCAGCAGCCGCGGUAAUACGGAGGGUGCCGGCGUUACUGGGAAUAACGGGGUAGUAAGCGUGUUGUUAAGUCAGGAGUGAAAGGCCAUGGCUCAACUAUGGGAUUGCUUUUGAUACUGACGAGCUUGGAUUAGGACGAGGUUGGCGGAAUGUGGCAAGUAGCGGUGAAAUGCAUAGAUAUGCCAUAGAAUACCGAUUGCGAAGGCAGCUGACUAGACCUAUAUUGACGCUGAGGCACGAAAGCGUGGGGAGCGAACAGGAUUAGAUACCCCUGUAGUC
This 450-nucleotide ribosomal RNA is filed under the name uncultured bacterium. RNAcentral describes it as "partial 16S ribosomal RNA". It matches the Rfam family "Bacterial small subunit ribosomal RNA", at positions 338 to 795 of the family's 1533-position model. The record is from RNAcentral.